This 301-nucleotide ribosomal RNA is filed under the name uncultured bacterium. RNAcentral's name for it is "partial 16S ribosomal RNA". It matches the Rfam family "Bacterial small subunit ribosomal RNA", at positions 509 to 809 of the family's 1533-position model. The record is from RNAcentral.
CAGCAGCCACGGGAAUACGGAGGGUGCGAGCGUUAAUCGGAAUUACUGGGCGUAAAGCGUACGCAGGCGGUUUGUUAAGUCAGAUGUGAAAUCCCCGGGCUUAACCCGGGAACUGCAUUUGAAACUGGCAGGCUAGAGUCUCGUAGAGGGGGGUAGAAUUCCAGGUGUAGCGGUGAAAUGCGUAGAGAUCUGGAGGAAUACCGGUGGCGAAGGCGGCCCCCUGGACGAAGACUGACGCUCAGGUACGAAAGCGUGGGGAGCAAACAGGAUUAGAUACCCCAGUAGUCCCUGUCUCUUAUAA